Nicotiana attenuata is the source of this 2201-nucleotide long non-coding RNA. RefSeq lists it as uncharacterized. The transcript is spliced from 4 exons. The record is from RefSeq and is a predicted model, not a curated record. Lineage: Eukaryota; Viridiplantae; Streptophyta; Magnoliopsida; Solanales; Solanaceae.
GAGGGGACCACAACCAUUUCUUUUGGCACAAGACUUUAUUCACAUUAGAGAGAUAGAGAAUAAACAGAGAAGAGAAUUGAGGGAGAACGAGACAGCAACGGAGAGGGCACAACUGGGAGGACGUUAAGGAUAGAUGGCGAGAAAAAGAGCGCAGAAACAUCACGCUUCUUCUGCUUUCAAUACCAAAAUAUAGAUAUGACCGUCUUACUCAUAAAACACCAUGUAAAUUCAGUUUUUUUGAUAUUUUAAUUGUUUCUCCUUCACCGGAGAAGCAUUAGCCUUGAACCAAAUUCUCCAUAACCACCAACCGUAAAGUUCAAUCUCUUUCUUCCACUACUCAUGCCAUUAAACUCCACAUAUCUGAAAUUCAUCAACCACUGACCAACAGAGGCUCUUUUUCUUUCUUAAAGUUCAGGUCAUCUUUUUGAGCUUCGUUGUUCUCUGGGUUGAGUACGUAGAGUUCAAGUUCGUCGACUAGAUUUGAGUUUCUCCGGUGAGGUUCGGUCAGUCCGUUUCCUGUCGAGGUUCGGCCGUGGUCAUGUGCAUUGUCAUGUUUUAAAACAGUCAGUCGCAUAUAUUUAGAGGUGCAACCAUAAAGGUUUCCUCUGAUCAAUUGUAUCGAAUCCAUAAAUGACUGUCAUAAGACAGUUCAUUGGAAUCUUUCUUCCUAUUAUAUUACAGUGCAUUGACCGAAAAGUCUGAUCUAGCACUGUUAUAUCAUGAAGGUACUCAACUGUUAUUAUUUAUAUCUUUUGUUGGUACUUCUUAUAUUCCAUACCAACCAAGACAUCAGGAAGGGUUGAUGGGCCACCUGCAGAUGGUGGCUUCAAGUUAGCCAUCACAGCUACACUUGAGUGUUUAGUAGGUCCUUGCUUUCCCCGCGUUAUCACUGCUUUAACAUGUUCAUAGAUGUAACCCCAUGCUCCUUGCUUGGGAUCACUGCCUGCUCUUGGCCAUUCCUGAUGAAGGAGCUAACACAACUCAUGUACUCCUCCAUAUUUGUUUCACUAGCUGAGAUCUCUUUUUUCUGGGCUGAUGGUCCUGCUUGACCUCUUCCUUGCCGGUUUUUGCACAAUCAUGCCCAAGUUUUAAAUAUUUUUCACAAAAAUUUGGUUUCUAAUCAUAUUUAACUGUCUGUUCAAAUAUUCUGUCUGAGUCAUCCAUGACUGGCACCUUGUUUGGGAGAGGUUUGGUAACAUUCACUUCAAUAAGUAUUCGAGAAAAAGAAAUUCUAGAUUGUUUAACAGUGCGCUCAUCUGCAAACAGUUAAAUUUCUAUUAUACUUGCAAUACGACCAAAUUAGUUACUUCCCUAGCAGUUCAUUGGGAGCUUAGGAAACCUUACCCACAGUGGAAUCUCAGUUAAUUCUAAGUCAAAAUCAAAUUGUGGACUUCAUUAUUUCAUUAUCAUAGGCCUGUUAUUAACUGUGAGAGGUCCAGCACAUAGAUUUUUCUUCAUAUCUGCCAUGGAAUGGAACCUGACUAUGAAGUAACCAUGAUCAUGAGAGUAUAGAUCUGGCAUAGUCACAGUAUUCCACAUUUGAUUUAUGUAUCUAUGCAUAUAGUUAUACCUUUGCUUUUCCCCAAUCGCAUAGAUAAUUAGGGCACACUUCCAUUUCAUAGUUUCUGUCUCAAGUUCUGAUUCUCGAGCUUAGCUACUAGAUUACCUUCUACAAGCUCAGGGGUGAUGUAGUUCAGAGCCAAACCAUUAGCAGCUGAUCUAUAGCCAGAGUACUCCAGCCCAAGUGGACUCCUUGGUCACUUCCGAUGACGGAACAGUAAUCGGUAGUGGUGUUUGGGCUUGGUUUCCAACCUUGUGAUCUUUACCCUUCAAUGGAACAGUAGCAUUGCGAGGAGGUGGAGGUGUGACUCUACCCUUAGGUCGACAUGCAGGGGAAUAGGACUCUGAUUUUCUCUUUUUUGUUGUUGAGCCGAUUCAGAAGCUUCACCAUAAGGGAUCUGGGUGAGGAUUCCAGAUCCUACCUAGGUUUUGGAAGCUCCGGAAAUGGACUCCAUAACAGCUGAUGAACUGCUUCCUGUGUUUUGAGCUUAAGAUUUUGUUAUCUACCUUGAUUUGUUGCUUCUUAGGACGACCCCAUGACUUCUUUACUUUCUAUAUUAUUAUUUUUAUAACAAUAUAGGAAUAGUGCUGAAUAGGAUGUAUUAAUAAUGCUAAUAUUAGUAAAAUUAUGAUUAAUUAUG